Molecule: small RNA, 106 nt
Filed under: Marmota monax (woodchuck)
Lineage: Eukaryota; Metazoa; Chordata; Mammalia; Rodentia; Sciuridae
Source: RNAcentral
GCCGGGUGUGUUGGCACACAUCUGUAAUCCAGCGACUCAGGAGGCUGAGGCAGGAGGAUCACAAGUUUGAGGCUAGCCUCAGCAACUUAGCAAGACCCUGUCUCAA